UGCUAUGGUUCCAACGGCGGAGGCUUUGAAUCACAGUCAGGAACAUAAAAUGGUUCUGGAUUGUAGUUCAGCGCCUCCGCCAUUGAUCUUUAGCA
RNAcentral lists this microRNA precursor (95 nucleotides) under Fragaria vesca subsp. vesca. RNAcentral's name for it is "Fragaria vesca miR11292 stem-loop (fve-MIR11292)". Lineage: Eukaryota; Viridiplantae; Streptophyta; Magnoliopsida; Rosales; Rosaceae. The record is from miRBase by way of RNAcentral.